UACGGAGGGGGCUAGCGUUGUUCGGAAUCACUGGGCGUAAAGCGCGCGUAGGCGGCUACGAAAGUUGGGAGUGAAAGCCCGGGGCUCAACCCCGGAAUUGCUCUCAAAACUUCGUGGCUUGAGAUCUGGAGAGGAGAGUGGAAUUCCAAGUGUAGAGGUGAAAUUCGUAGAUAUUUGGAAGAACACCAGUGGCGAAGGCGACUCUCUGGCCAGUUUCUGACGCUGAGGCGCGAAAGCGUGGGGAGCAAACAGG
Molecule: unclassified non-coding RNA, 253 nt
Filed under: uncultured Alphaproteobacteria bacterium
Lineage: Bacteria; Pseudomonadati; Pseudomonadota; Alphaproteobacteria
Description: contains 16S-23S intergenic spacer region
Rfam family: Bacterial small subunit ribosomal RNA
Source: RNAcentral